This 253-nucleotide ribosomal RNA is filed under the name uncultured bacterium. Its description in RNAcentral is "partial 16S ribosomal RNA". It matches the Rfam family "Bacterial small subunit ribosomal RNA", at positions 524 to 776 of the family's 1533-position model. The record is from RNAcentral.
UACGAAGGGGGCUAGCGUUGUUCGGAAUUACUGGGCGUAAAGCGCGUGUAGGCGGGUCUUUAAGUCAGGGGUGAAAUGCCAAGGCUCAACCUUGGAACUGCCUUUGAUACUGGAGAUCUUGAGUCCGGGAGAGGUGAGUGGAACUGCGAGUGUAGAGGUGAAAUUCGUAGAUAUUCGCAAGAACACCAGUGGCGAAGGCGGCUCACUGGCCCGGAACUGACGCUGAGACGCGAAAGCGUGGGGAGCAAGCAGG